AUUGAACGCUGGCGGCAGGCCUAACACAUGCAAGUCGAACGAGUGGCGGACGGGUGAGUAAUGUCUGGGAAACUGCCUGAUGGAGGGGGAUAACCACUGGAAACGGUAUCUAAUACCGCAUACCAGCGGUUGUGCCCAGAUGGGAUUAGCUAGUAGGUGGGGUAAAGGCUCACCAAGGCGACGAUACCUAGCUGGUCUGAGAGGAUGACCAGCCACACUGUGACUGAGACACGGUCCAGACUCCUACGGGAGGCAGCAGUGGGGAAUAUUUCACAAUGGGCGAAAGCCUGAUGCAGCAAUGCCGCGUGUGUGAAGAAGGUCUUCGGGUUGUAAAGUACUUUCAGCAGAGAGGCGGUACCCACAGAAGAAGCACCGGCUAACUACGUGCCAGCAGCCGCGGUAAUUC
Molecule: ribosomal RNA, 406 nt
Filed under: uncultured bacterium
Lineage: Bacteria
Description: partial 16S ribosomal RNA
Rfam family: Bacterial small subunit ribosomal RNA
Source: RNAcentral